GAUGAACGCUGGCGGCGUGCUUAACACAUGCAAGUCGAACGAAGAAGCCCAGCUUGCUGGGUGGAUUAGUGGCGAACGGGUGAGUAACACGUGAGUAACCUGCCCUUAACUCUGGGAUAAGCCUGGGAAACUGGGUCUAAUACCGGAUAGGAGCGCCUACCGCAUGGUGGGUGUUGGGAAGAUUUAUCGGUUUUGGAUGGACUCGCGGCCUAUCAGCUUGUUGGUGAGGUAAUGGCUCACCAAGGCGACGACGGGUAGCCGGCCUGAGAGGGUGACCGGCCACACUGGGACUGAGACACGGCCCAGACUCCUACGGGAGGCAGCAGUGGGGAAUAUUGCACAAUGGGCGAAAGCCUGAUGCAGCGACGCCGCGUGAGGGAUGACGGCCUUCGGGUUGUAAACCUCUUUCAGUAGGGAAGAAGCGAAAGUGACGGUACCUGCAGAAGAAGCACCGGCUAACUACGUG
RNAcentral lists this ribosomal RNA (466 nucleotides) under uncultured bacterium. RNAcentral describes it as "partial 16S ribosomal RNA". It matches the Rfam family "Bacterial small subunit ribosomal RNA", at positions 28 to 507 of the family's 1533-position model. The record is from RNAcentral.